Myotis lucifugus (little brown bat) is the source of this 524-nucleotide long non-coding RNA. RefSeq lists it as uncharacterized. The record is from RefSeq and is a predicted model, not a curated record. Lineage: Eukaryota; Metazoa; Chordata; Mammalia; Chiroptera; Vespertilionidae. The transcript has 2 exons.
UCUUAGGCGUGAAAGGGUCAUUCCACCCCCAAAGGGGUCGCGACCCACAGGUUGAGAACCGCUGCCCUAGAUAAUCUCUUCUCUUUCCACUUUCUAGAAUAAUUUACCAUGACAUCUAAUCCCUAUUCUUUGAGAAUCUUACUGCCAUCCCCCUCCCCAUCUGUUUCUUCUCCUACUAGGAAACGGAGCCCAAUUACCAAGCCCUGAUGCGCAUCCUUAUCUCUAGAAGUGAGACUGACCUUCUAAGCAUCCGAGCUGAGUUCAGAAGGAAAUUUGGGAAGUCCCUCUACUCUUCCCUCCAGGAUGCUGUGAAAGGGGACUGCCGACUAGCCCUACUAGCCCUGUGCAGGGCCGAAGACCUUUGAGACUCCCCUCCCCCUUCCACUCCCACAUGACAUUCAAGGAUCUGAGAGUCCCAUGUUUGGCUGAGCCUGCAGGAGACCAGCGGAGCCUCCAAAUAGGAUAACCCCUCACUGAGCAUUACAUGUUCCAGCUUCUUGUUGAGGGUGGAACUCGAAGUUUUC